GGCAAUGUAGUUGGUAGUUAACUGCUGGGCUCUGGAGUCAGUAUGCUUGGGUUUGAAUCUCAGCUUUGCCA
RNAcentral lists this transfer RNA (71 nucleotides) under Chlorocebus sabaeus (green monkey). It matches the Rfam family "tRNA". Rfam says of the family: Transfer RNA (tRNA) molecules are approximately 80 nucleotides in length. The record is from Rfam by way of RNAcentral. Lineage: Eukaryota; Metazoa; Chordata; Mammalia; Primates; Cercopithecidae.